CCUACGGGGGGCAGCAGUGGGGAAUAUUGGACAAUGGGCGAAAGCCUGAUCCAGCCAUGCCGCGUGUGUGAAGAAGGCCUUCGGGUUGUAAAGCACUUUCAGUGGGGAAGAAAGCCUUGGGGCUAAUACCCUCGAGGAAGGACAUCACCCACAGAAGAAGCACCGGCUAACUCCGUGCCAGCAGCCGCGGUAAUACGGAGGGUGCGAGCGUUAAUCGGAAUUACUGGGCGUAAAGCGCGCGUAGGCGGUCUGAUAAGCCGGUUGUUAAAGCCCCGGGCUCAACCUGGGAACGGCAUCCGGAACUGUCAGGCUAGAGUGCAGGAGAGGAAGGUAGAAUUCCCGGUGUAGCGGUGAAAUGCGUAGAGAUCGGGAGGAAUACCAGUGGCGAAGGCGGCCUUCUGGACUGACACUGACGCUGAGGUGCGAAAGCGUGGGUAGCAAACAGGAUUACAUACCCCUGUAGC
Molecule: ribosomal RNA, 464 nt
Filed under: Vreelandella stevensii
Lineage: Bacteria; Pseudomonadati; Pseudomonadota; Gammaproteobacteria; Oceanospirillales; Halomonadaceae
Description: partial 16S ribosomal RNA
Rfam family: Bacterial small subunit ribosomal RNA
Source: RNAcentral